UGUAAUUCACACCCUAGCUGCUUAAUA
This 27-nucleotide small RNA is filed under the name Bombyx mori (domestic silkworm). RNAcentral's name for it is "ovarian small RNA-35383". Lineage: Eukaryota; Metazoa; Arthropoda; Insecta; Lepidoptera; Bombycidae. The record is from RNAcentral.